UUUGUGAUGCAACUACUUUCCUCCUGUUGACUAGGUCUCCAGGGAUAAGCCUAUGGCCCAGAGCACUGCCCCCGUGCCCCCAGAGCUGUUGGCUCCAGGCUCUACCUGAUUCCUUCCAGUUAGAACUACAGAGGCCUGGGGUCCCAUCCCAGGAACCGACACACACCUGAGGAGCAGAGCAGCCUAUAGAAGGUGGGGUCUGGAGCCUCAGCUCCUGGGGGAUGGAAGGUGCAGCAGGGCCAGGAGCACCUCAGGUGUUGGCGGUGACAGCUACAGGAGAGACGCUGUUCUAGGUGCUGGGGACCUGGGGUGGAGAAGACGAGAUUCCAUACAAAUGCAGUAGAGCAUGGCCAGGACUCUGUGGGGAAGGCACGAGUGGGGGUGACCAGGCUUCUCUGAGCAGAGACCAACUGGAGUUCGGAGUGUGUGCCCUCAGAGACCCGCAGGGGAGCACCGUAGGAGAGGGAGCAACAGAUGCAAAGGCCCUGAGAGCCCUGAUCACCUGGUCGUUCUCUUGUUCACCUGCUCUCUCUGCAGCACAGCCACAUCCCCAGUGCCUCGAACAGUUUCUACCUGACUCAGCACUCAGUGAACAUUUGAACUCUCCUGUGGUGCGGGGGCGGGGAAUGAAUAUCCAGUGAAUAAAUGCUGGAUAGU
Molecule: long non-coding RNA, 657 nt
Organism: Canis lupus familiaris (dog)
Lineage: Eukaryota; Metazoa; Chordata; Mammalia; Carnivora; Canidae
Exons: 3
Source: RefSeq, a predicted model, not a curated record